This 458-nucleotide ribosomal RNA is filed under the name uncultured bacterium. Its description in RNAcentral is "partial 16S ribosomal RNA". It matches the Rfam family "Bacterial small subunit ribosomal RNA", at positions 338 to 795 of the family's 1533-position model. The record is from RNAcentral.
CCUACGGGCGGCAGCAGUGAGGAAUAUUGGUCAAUGGCCGGAAGGCUGAACCAGCCAUGCCGCGUGAAGGUCAGUGCCCUAUGGGCGUUAAACUUCUUUUGUGCGGGAGCAAUAAUGGUCACGUGUGGCCAGACGAGAGUACCGUACGAAUAAGCAUCGGCUAACUCCGUGCCAGCAGCCGCGGUAAUACGGGGGAUGCAAGCGGUAUCCGGAUUUAUUGGGUUUAAAGGGUGCGUAGGCUGUGAGGUAAGUCAGCGGGGAAAUGCCCCCGCUCAACGGGGUGAAGUGCCAUUGAUACUGCCUUGCUGGAAUGCGGAUGCCGUGGGAGGAAUGUGUGGUGUAGCGGUGAAAUGCAUAGAUAACACACAGAACACCGAUUGCGAAGGCAUCUCACGAAUCCGCGAUUGACGCUGAUGCACGAAAGCGUGGGUAUCAAACAGGAUUAGACCCCUGUAGUC